This is a non-coding RNA of Rhineura floridana, 432 nucleotides long. The record is from the annotation of a RefSeq genome assembly. Lineage: Eukaryota; Metazoa; Chordata; Lepidosauria; Squamata; Rhineuridae.
AUGGCGGCCGCACUGACUCAGCCACACUGUGGGUUCUUUCGACACCUGCUCUUCUCCCUCUGGGCCCUGCAAUGUGGUCUAGUAGCUGGAGAUUCCGGAGUGAAAGUGAUCCAGCAACCACCACUUGCCAGCCACCCACAAGGUGGGACCCUGGAGCUGACUUGUACUGUCAAUGAAGACAACUAUUAUUUCUACUGGUACCGCCAACUCCCUGGACAGACAGAGCUUCAGCACCUCGGGACUUUCAAAGCUUUUGAAGUCAACCUGGAGGAGAAGCCAGGAAAUGAUCUGGGGAAUCGGCUGAGUGGCAAACGGAAGGGAAGCUCAUCACAUUUGAACCUAACAGGCCUCCAGUCUACUGACACAGGACUGUAUCUGUGUUCUGCAAAGGACACAGUGAAUCUUGAGCAACAGGAGCUGGUGCAAAACUGA